AGUAGGAUUGCUGGGUUGUACAGUACUUCUGUUCUUAACUUUGUGAGGAAGCACCACUCUCUCUUCCACAGUGGCUGCACCAUUUACAGUCCCACCAGCAGU
This 102-nucleotide microRNA precursor is filed under the name Marmota monax (woodchuck). The record is from RNAcentral. Lineage: Eukaryota; Metazoa; Chordata; Mammalia; Rodentia; Sciuridae.